RNAcentral lists this ribosomal RNA (253 nucleotides) under uncultured bacterium. RNAcentral's name for it is "partial 16S ribosomal RNA". It matches the Rfam family "Bacterial small subunit ribosomal RNA", at positions 524 to 776 of the family's 1533-position model. The record is from RNAcentral.
UACGUAGGGUGCAAGCGUUAAUCGGAAUUACUGGGCGUAAAGCGUGCGCAGGCGGUUUUGUAAGGCUGUCGUGAAAUCCCCGGGCUCAACCUGGGAAUGGCGAUGGUGACUGCAAGGCUAGAGUUUGGCAGAGGGGGGUAGAAUUCCACGUGUAGCAGUGAGAUGCGUAGAUAUGUGGAGGAACACCGAUGGCGAAGGCAGCCCCCUGGGUCAAAACUGACGCUCAUGCACGAAAGCGUGGGGAGCAAACAGG